CUGCCUCCAUCUUGGAUAAACUCUUUUUUCAAGAAGACGACAUGGCGGCCCACAAUCACAUCAUGAUCCUCAGGAAGAUAGAAGUAGUAUCUCAUGGUUUUCUUAGGAUACCCUAUAAAACGAGCCCUAAAGGACCUAGCCUCUAACUUGUCCAUCUGCUGUAGCUUGACAUGGGUCGGACAUCCCCGAAUCUUGAGGUAUCCAAGAGUUGGCUUCUUACCAUGCUAUAAUUCAUAUAGU
RNAcentral lists this long non-coding RNA (240 nucleotides) under Elaeis guineensis (African oil palm). Its description in RNAcentral is "long non-coding RNA (EGUI_LNC045089)". The record is from RNAcentral. Lineage: Eukaryota; Viridiplantae; Streptophyta; Magnoliopsida; Arecales; Arecaceae.